This 717-nucleotide ribosomal RNA is filed under the name Triticum aestivum (bread wheat). RNAcentral describes it as "partial small subunit ribosomal RNA". The record is from RNAcentral. Lineage: Eukaryota; Viridiplantae; Streptophyta; Magnoliopsida; Poales; Poaceae.
AUGGGCGGCUGGAACCGCAUCUCCAGUGCCGGUGGUCUACUGAAGCCGCUCGCCGGCGUCCCUUUCGCCUCCAUGCCCGGCGCCGGCGCCGCCUACUUCCUCGUCGGCUCCGCGCUCGGGGUCUUCGCGAUGCUGCACGCCUCCGAGUCCGAGGUCGGCCGCGAGUGGGCCUCCGUCGCGCGCUGGGCUGCCCUGUCCCGCACACCUGCUCGUCGCAAUGUCCCUGCUCCUCCUGGCCGCCAAAGUCUGGUGCCUCGGCAAGCGCUGCGACGUGGUGGAGGGGCUCGUGGGGAGCCCAGGCCCCACGGUGCAAGCGGUGCGCGUCAGAGGCGUCAUCUGCACCGUGUGUGGGACUGCUCCGACGUUUCGUGGUCGCUGGCUUCUGAGCUGGAGCAGGAGGCCGACACGGAGGACGAGGACAUCGCUAGCAAGGUGACCAGCGCGGAAGAGAGCAACGUGGAGCGGCUCAGGCGGCGGCUCGUGCGGGAGAGGAGGCUGAAGGAGGCCGCGCUAGAGGACCUGGAGAAGGAGAGGUGCGCGGCGGCCUCCGCCGCUGACGAGGCCAUGGCCAAGAUCGCGUGCCUGCGGAACGAGAAGGCGCUGGUGGAGCGCGAGGCGAAGCAGUCCCGGGAGAUGGCCCAGCAGAAGCAGAUGUACGAUCGGCAGGUGAUCGAGUCUCUUCAGUGGAUGAUCAACAAGUUUGGCGUGCAAUCUUAG